AAAAAGACAAACCCUGGGUUUCCGUGUCCAACGUUUGACUGUCCGUCUUAUAUAAAAUUUUUUUAUAAUUAGUAUUUUCAUUGUUGUUAGAUGAUAAAACAUGAUUAAUACUUUAUGCGUGACUUGUCUUUUUAAUUUUUUUCAUAAAUUUUUCAAAUAAGACGGACGGUCAAACGUUGGACACGAAAACCCAAGGUUUGUCUUUUU
Molecule: microRNA precursor, 207 nt
Filed under: Oryza glumipatula
Lineage: Eukaryota; Viridiplantae; Streptophyta; Magnoliopsida; Poales; Poaceae
Description: MIR812 microRNA precursor family
Rfam family: MIR812 microRNA precursor family
Source: Rfam by way of RNAcentral